UACGUAGGGGGCAAGCGUUGUCCGGAAUCAUUGGGCGUAAAGCGCGUGUAGGCGGUUCGGUAAGUCUGCUGUGAAAGUCCAGGGCUCAACCCUGGAAUGCCGGUGGAUACUGUCGGGCUAGAGUUCGGAAGAGGCAAGUGGAAUUCCUGGUGUAGCGGUGGAAUGCGCAGAUAUCAGGAGGAACACCUAUAGCGAAGGCAGCUUGCUGGGACGACACUGACGCUAAGGCGCGAAAGCGUGGGGAGCGAACAGG
RNAcentral lists this ribosomal RNA (253 nucleotides) under uncultured bacterium. Its description in RNAcentral is "partial 16S ribosomal RNA". It matches the Rfam family "Bacterial small subunit ribosomal RNA", at positions 524 to 776 of the family's 1533-position model. The record is from RNAcentral.